GUGCCAGCAGCCGCGGUAAUACGAAGGGGGCGAGCGUUGUUCGGAAUUACUGGGCGUAAAGGGCGCGUAGGCGGCGACCCAAGUCAGAUGUGAAAGUCCUGGGCUUAACCUGGGGACUGCAUUUGAUACUGGGUUGCUUGAAUUCGGGAGAGGAUAGCGGAAUUCCCAGUGUAGAGGUGAAAUUCGUAGAUAUUGGGAAGAACACCGGUGGCGAAGGCGGCUAUCUGGACCGACAUUGACGCUGAGGCGCGAAAGCGUGGGGAGCAAACAGGAUUAGAUACCCUGGUAGUCC
Molecule: ribosomal RNA, 292 nt
Filed under: uncultured bacterium
Lineage: Bacteria
Description: partial 16S ribosomal RNA
Rfam family: Bacterial small subunit ribosomal RNA
Source: RNAcentral